RNAcentral lists this ribosomal RNA (532 nucleotides) under uncultured bacterium. Its description in RNAcentral is "bacterial SSU rRNA". It matches the Rfam family "Bacterial small subunit ribosomal RNA", at positions 296 to 820 of the family's 1533-position model. The record is from RNAcentral.
GAGGACGACCAGCCACACUGGCACUGAGAUACGGGCCAGACUCCUACGGGAGGCAGCAGUGAGGAAUAUUGCGCAAUGGGGGAAACCCUGACGCAGCAACGCCGCGUGUGGGAAGAAGGCCUUCGGGUCGUAAACCACUUUUGCACGGGACGAAAAAGGGAUAUCGAACAAAUAUCCCCGAUGACGGUACCGUGAGAAUAAGCCACGGCUAACUCUGUGCCAGCAGCCGCGGUAAGACAGAGGUGGCAAGCGUUGUUCGGAAUUACUGGGCGUAAAGAGUCUGUAGGUGGUUUGUCAAGUCUUUGGUGAAAGGCCGUAGCUUAACUAUGGGAAUGCCAAAGAGACUGGCAGGCUGGAGGCUGGGAGAGGGAAGCGGAAUUUCUGGUGUAGCGGUGAAAUGCGUAGAUAUCAGAAGGAAGGCCGGUGGCGAAGGCGGCUUCCUGGAACAGUCCUGACACUGAGAGACGAAAGCGUGGGGAGCAAACAGGAUUAGAUACCCUGGUAGUCCACGCCCUAAACGAUGGGUACUAAG